RNAcentral lists this transfer RNA (67 nucleotides) under Marmota monax (woodchuck). RNAcentral's name for it is "tRNA.Ala". The record is from RNAcentral. Lineage: Eukaryota; Metazoa; Chordata; Mammalia; Rodentia; Sciuridae.
GGUAGUGGCUCAGUGGUAGAGCGCUCUGCUAGCACAUGCGAGGCCCUGGGUUUGAUCCUUAGAACCA